Molecule: unclassified non-coding RNA, 295 nt
Filed under: Hevea brasiliensis (rubber tree)
Lineage: Eukaryota; Viridiplantae; Streptophyta; Magnoliopsida; Malpighiales; Euphorbiaceae
Source: RNAcentral
GGAAGCUUUGUAUAAUGCUGGAAGAUUGACAGAUAUAGAUAUGAAGCGAUCACAUAGACAUAGAACCAGAAGAAAGUCCGGAAAAUAACAUCUAGCGAGUCAAGAGGAGCAAAGUAUGAACGAAAUCGGAGAUGGUCAUAUUGCUAAAUUUUUGGAGAAAGAGCAAUGGUUUGCUUUUGUAGCAAAGCUUUUCAAGGACAAGUGACCACAAAAACACUACAUUGCUUUGUAUUUUUUUCUCUUCCUGUGGCCUUGCAACAAUUUCUGUACAACAUGGCCUGUAAUUGAAUUGAUA